AGCCGUUUAGCUAUAAAAGUAAAUGUUUUGAAAACAUUUGAAAAGGACUACUUAGUGGCUU
RNAcentral lists this transfer RNA (61 nucleotides) under Glyptonotus cf. antarcticus FK-2009. RNAcentral describes it as "tRNA-Ser". The record is from RNAcentral. Lineage: Eukaryota; Metazoa; Arthropoda; Malacostraca; Isopoda; Chaetiliidae.